UACGUAGGGUGCAAGCGUUGUCCGGAAUUAUUGGGCGUAAAGAGCUCGUAGGCGGUUUGUCGCGUCGAAUGUGAAAACCCGGGGCUCAACCCCGGGCCUGCAUUCGAUACGGGCAGACUAGAGUUCGGUAGGGGAGUCUGGAAUUCCUGGUGUAGCGGUGAAAUGCGCAGAGAUCAGGAGGAACACCGAUGGCGAAAGCAGGUAACUGGACCAUUACUGACACUCAGCUGCGAAAGCUAGGGGAGCAAACAGG
This 253-nucleotide ribosomal RNA is filed under the name uncultured bacterium. RNAcentral's name for it is "partial 16S ribosomal RNA". It matches the Rfam family "Bacterial small subunit ribosomal RNA", at positions 524 to 776 of the family's 1533-position model. The record is from RNAcentral.